GGGCGAUUAGUUUAAUGGCAGAACAGCGGCCUCCAAAUCCGCUGGUGGGGGUUCGAUUCCCUCAUCGCCCG
This 71-nucleotide transfer RNA is filed under the name bacterium. RNAcentral's name for it is "tRNA-Trp". It matches the Rfam family "tRNA". Rfam says of the family: Transfer RNA (tRNA) molecules are approximately 80 nucleotides in length. Their secondary structure includes four short double-helical elements and three loops (D, anti-codon, and T loops). The record is from RNAcentral.